Molecule: ribosomal RNA, 851 nt
Filed under: uncultured Chloroflexota bacterium
Lineage: Bacteria; Bacillati; Chloroflexota
Description: bacterial SSU rRNA
Rfam family: Bacterial small subunit ribosomal RNA
Source: RNAcentral
GAUAAACGUUGGCGGUGUGCCUUAUGCAUGCAAGUCGUACGAGGCUAUGAUCUUCGGAUUGUAACCGAGUGGCGGACGGCUGAGUAACGCGUAAGCAACUUGCCUGUGAGUGGGGGAUAACCUGUCGAAAGGCAGGCUAAUACCGCAUAAGAUAAACGAGUGAUGCUUGUUUAUUAAAGCCUUAGGGUGCUUGCAGAGGGGCUUGCGUCUGAUUAGCUAGUUGGCAGGGUAAUGGCCUACCAAGGCGAUGAUCAGUAGCUGGCCUGAGAGGGUGUCCAGCCAGAUGGGGGCUGAGACACGGCCCCAACUCCUACGGGAGGCAGCAGCAAGGAAUAUUGGGCAAUGGGCGAAAGCCUGACCCAGCGACACCGCGUGAGGGAAGAAGGCCUUCGGGUUGUAAACCUCUUUUCUCGAGGAAGAAUUCUGACGGUACUCGAGGAAUAAGUCUUGGCUAACUACGUGCCAGCAGCCGCGGUAAUACGUAGAAGGCGGACGUUAUCCGGAUUUACUGGGCGUAAAGAGAGCGUAGGCGGCUCUUCAAGUCAAGCGUGAAAUCUUCUGACUCAAUCGGAAGGCGCCACUUGAUACUAGAGGGCUUGAGGGCAGCAGAAGGAAAUGGAAUUCCCAGUGUAGCGGUGAAAUGCGUUGAUAUUGGGAAGAACACCAGUGGCGAAGGCGAUUUCCUAGGUUGUUUCUGACGCUGAGGCUCGAAAGCGUGGGGAGCGAAGCGGAUUAGAUACCCGCGUAGUCCACGCCUUAAACGGUGGACACUAGAUAUGGGGAGUAUCGACCCUUUUCGUGUCGAAGCUACGCUUUAAGUGUCCCGCCUGGGGAGUACGGCCGCAAGGCUA